Molecule: unclassified non-coding RNA, 213 nt
Filed under: Glomeraceae sp.
Lineage: Eukaryota; Fungi; Glomeromycota; Glomeromycetes; Glomerales; Glomeraceae
Description: partial contains 5.8S ribosomal RNA and internal transcribed spacer 2
Rfam family: 5.8S ribosomal RNA (bases 1-71)
Source: RNAcentral
GUGAAUCAUCAAAUUUUUGAACGCAAAUUGCGCUUUCUAGCAUCCCGGGAAGUAUGCCUGUUUGAGGGUCAGUAUUAACAAAAAAAUCGGUGUGGUUGCAAAUUGUGACGUUUCCGGUGGGUGGGCUAUCUUAAUUUUUUUGGUUGAGGGUCUUAAAAUUGACCUUUUUUGCGUAUUUUUAGACGUACAUAAAUUUUUUUUUAUUUGUCUUUU